RNAcentral lists this ribosomal RNA (210 nucleotides) under uncultured bacterium. RNAcentral describes it as "partial 16S ribosomal RNA". It matches the Rfam family "Bacterial small subunit ribosomal RNA", at positions 524 to 731 of the family's 1533-position model. The record is from RNAcentral.
UACAGAGGUCCCAAGCGUUGUUCGGAUUCAUUGGGCGUAAAGGGUGCGUAGGCGGCGCGGUAAGUCGGGUGUGAAAUCUCGGAGCUUAACUCCGAAACUGCAUUCGAUACUGCCGUGCUUGAGGACUGGAGAGGAGACUGGAAUUUACGGUGUAGCGGUGGAAAUGCGUAGAUAUCGUAAGGAAGACCAGUGGCGAAGGCGGGUCGUCUG